GCGAAUUUUACCAAAGUCGACACGUUUUUACGGGUCAAGUGCGAGAUGAGAUGUGCCUCCACUCUGAAGACACAGAUAACGAAUCUACAAACAACAAAGAACAGCAAUUAAUCACAAGAGUGGAUUGUUUUUAGUAUUUCAGUGUGAGCACAGAUCUAAUACCUCUGAAUCGUCUUGGUGGGAUGAUCUUUCGUACACUGUUUUCAUCAGAGUCCUCAACAUGAGAGGUUUCCAUUGCUUUUUGGACCCGGUAUCUGGCCAGCCAUGAGGAUGGUGCCACCUCGACCUCAUUUUGCUCAAUGAAAUUGAGUACUACGUAGCGGAGAUAAAUCUGUUUUCAAAAGUUAAUGGUGCUGGAUAGCCAAUCACUAGAAGAGGCAGGAACUCAUGGGGCAAAUCUUCAAAAGGCAGAGACUCGGGG
This is a non-coding RNA of Pimephales promelas (fathead minnow), 421 nucleotides long. The record is from RefSeq and is a predicted model, not a curated record. NCBI's taxonomy places the organism in Eukaryota, Metazoa, Chordata, Actinopteri, Cypriniformes, Leuciscidae.